RNAcentral lists this ribosomal RNA (291 nucleotides) under uncultured bacterium. RNAcentral's name for it is "partial 16S ribosomal RNA". It matches the Rfam family "Bacterial small subunit ribosomal RNA", at positions 773 to 1060 of the family's 1533-position model. The record is from RNAcentral.
GUGGAUUAGAUACCCUAGUAGUCCACGCCGUAAACUAUGGGUGCUAGCUGUCAGCGGGCUUGCUCGUUGGUGGCGCAGCUAACGCAUUAAGCACCCCGCCUGGGGAGUACGGUCGCAAGAUUAAAACUUAAAGGAAUUGACGGGGGCCCGCACAAGCGGUGGAGCAUGUGGUUUAAUUCGAAGCAACGCGCAGAACCUUACCAACCCUUGACAUCCCGAUCGCGGGCACCAGAGAUGGAGUCCUUCAGUUCGGCUGGAUCGGAGACAGGUGCUGCACGGUCGUCGUCAACU